GAAACGAGUUGAGGGCACGGUGCCCGUGAGCUGGGGCGCACGCCAGGGACAUCUUCCCUCCCCUGGUCCCUCCCCGAGCUUGAGGUCAGAACAGAGAUGAGAGUCUAGAGGAGAAAGGAAACUUUUGGGCUGAUGCCCACGCCGGGAAAGCUCUGGCCGACUCUUCGCGGCGCAAGCAUCUCGGUCUUCAUUUUACAGAUGAGCAUACUUGAAGCUUAGAGGAACCCAUUCAUUUCUUAAUCCAGCAGUUAUUGAAGCACCUACUUUGUGCCAGGCCCUGGGCUAGGCUCUGGAGAGACAACCACGAACAAGACACACGCUCCCGAAGGAAGACACAAAACAUAAGCGAGUGGUGCCCAGCUGAACUCGGGCCCACAGAGGUCCUCACAGAGGGGCCCAGGAGGGGCCCGCCAGCUCUGCCACAUAUGUAUCAAUACAGAGUGGUGGGCUGCCUCCCUGUACCUCUGUUUCUCCAUGUGGAAGUAGAGAACAUCUGCUCCCUUCCCCUAACUUUCUGGGAAGAAGGCCAGGGAGGAAGAGCCCUCUCUCCCCCAAGGUCUUGGUUCUUUUGGACAGGUCCACUUGCCAGAAGACCAAGGUGGAUUAUUUCUGCCAAAGCUGCAGGACAGGCCUCAGGGCUGGGCACGGAGCCCUAGUGACCUCACUGCUGGAGCAGGAGACACAAUGUUCGAGCCAUGGUCCAGGAAGAU
Molecule: long non-coding RNA, 710 nt
Organism: Balaenoptera musculus (blue whale)
Lineage: Eukaryota; Metazoa; Chordata; Mammalia; Artiodactyla; Balaenopteridae
Exons: 3
Source: RefSeq, a predicted model, not a curated record